UCGGGAAUUUUGGGCAAUGGGCGAAAGCCUGACCCAGCAACGCCGCGUGAAGGAUGAAGUAUUUCGGUAUGUAAACUUCGAAAGAAUGGGAAGAAUAAAUGACGGUACCAUUUAUAAGCUCCGGCUAACUACGUGCCAGCAGCCGCGGUAAUACGUAGGGACCAAGCGUUGUUCGGAUUUACUGGGCGUAAAGGGCGCGUAGGCGGCAAUUCAAGUCAUCUGUGAAAUCUCCGGGCUUAACUCGGAACGGUCAGAUGAUACUGCUUUGCUAGAGUGCAGAAGGGGCAAUCGGAAUUCUUGGUGUAGCGGUGAAAUGCGUAGAUAUCAAGAGGAACACCUGAGGUGAAGACGGGUUGCUGGGCUGACACUGACGCUGAGGCGCGAAAGCCAGGGGAGCAAACGGGAUUAGAUACCCACGUAGUCCCUGAGCGGGCUGGCAAGGCGCAU
This 447-nucleotide ribosomal RNA is filed under the name uncultured bacterium. Its description in RNAcentral is "bacterial SSU rRNA". It matches the Rfam family "Bacterial small subunit ribosomal RNA", at positions 355 to 825 of the family's 1533-position model. The record is from RNAcentral.